UCCCUGGUGGCUCAGAGGGUAAAGUGUCUGAUUGCAAUGCAGGAGACCUGGGUUCAAUCCCUGGGUCGGGAA
Ovis aries (sheep) is the source of this 72-nucleotide transfer RNA. It matches the Rfam family "tRNA". Rfam says of the family: Transfer RNA (tRNA) molecules are approximately 80 nucleotides in length. Lineage: Eukaryota; Metazoa; Chordata; Mammalia; Artiodactyla; Bovidae. The record is from Rfam.